UCUAAAAUGGCAGAUUUAAUGCAUUGAAUUUAAACUUCAUAUAUAUAACCUAGUUAUUUUUAGAA
This 65-nucleotide transfer RNA is filed under the name Plectrocnemia sp. 1 YW-2021a. RNAcentral describes it as "tRNA-Leu". Lineage: Eukaryota; Metazoa; Arthropoda; Insecta; Trichoptera; Polycentropodidae. The record is from RNAcentral.